RNAcentral lists this ribosomal RNA (292 nucleotides) under uncultured bacterium. Its description in RNAcentral is "partial 16S ribosomal RNA". The record is from RNAcentral. RNAcentral also lists the same sequence under 1 other name.
GGACUACCGGGGUAUCUAAUCCUGUUUGAUCCCCGCACUUUCGAGCCUCAGCGUCAGUUACAGUUUCGUUAGCUGCCUUCGCAAUCGGUGUUCUAUGACAUCUCUAUGUAUUUCACCACUACAUGUCAUAUUCCGCCAACGGCAUCUGUACUCAAGCCCUACAGUAUCAAUGGCAAUUUCUGAGUUGAGCUCAGAGAUUUCACCACUGACUUAUAAGGCCGCCUACGCUCCCUUUAAACCCAAUGAAUCCGGAUAACGCUUGCAUCCUUCGUCUUACCGCGGCUGCUGGCAC